CCCUUAGAUGUUCUGGGCCGCACGCGCGCUACACUGACGAAUGCAACGAGCUUAUAACCUUGGCCGAAAGGUCUGGGUAAUCUCCAAAUUUCGUCGUGAUGGGGAUAGAUUAUUGCAAUUAUUAAUCUUCAACGAGGAAUGCCUAGUAAGCGCAAGUCAUCAGCUUGCGUUGAUUACGUCCCUGCCCUUUGUACACACCGCCCGUCGCUCCUACCGAUUGAAUGGUCCGGUGAAGCGCUCGGACCGCGGCCUCUUGACGGUUUUCCGUCGAUUGGCUGUGGGAAGUUCGUUAAACCUUAUCAUUUAGAGGAAGGAGAAGUCGUAGCA
RNAcentral lists this ribosomal RNA (327 nucleotides) under uncultured eukaryote. RNAcentral's name for it is "partial 18S ribosomal RNA". It matches the Rfam family "Eukaryotic small subunit ribosomal RNA", at positions 1470 to 1796 of the family's 1831-position model. The record is from RNAcentral.